This 279-nucleotide RNase P RNA is filed under the name Mycoplasma miroungigenitalium. RNAcentral describes it as "Mycoplasma sp. Mirounga ES2806-GEN Bacterial RNase P class B". It matches the Rfam family "Bacterial RNase P class B". Rfam says of the family: Ribonuclease P (RNase P) is a ubiquitous endoribonuclease, found in archaea, bacteria and eukarya as well as chloroplasts and mitochondria. Its best characterised activity is the generation of mature 5'-ends of tRNAs by cleaving the 5'-leader elements of precursor-tRNAs. Cellular RNase Ps are ribonucleoproteins. The record is from Rfam by way of RNAcentral. Lineage: Bacteria; Bacillati; Mycoplasmatota; Mollicutes; Mycoplasmatales; Mycoplasmataceae.
CGCAUUGGCCAACAGCUGCUAUUAAAGUAGAGGAAAGUCCACGCUAGCACUUUCUGCGAUGAAAGUAGUGUUCAUGCUAAGCCCAAUAAGCUUAGGCCUAGACGACUAGUGCCACAGAGACGAGAAUUGUGAAACGCGGUAAACUCCAUGAGCUAGAAACCCAAAUUUUGGUAGGGGAAUUUUCUCGAGAGAAUUGAAUCAAGAGAGAAAACCAGUUUACUGGUUAGAUAAAUUGUUGGCACCUUAUUAUUUUUAAGGGACAAAACGUGGCUUAUAGAU